Molecule: long non-coding RNA, 918 nt
Filed under: Marmota monax (woodchuck)
Lineage: Eukaryota; Metazoa; Chordata; Mammalia; Rodentia; Sciuridae
Source: RNAcentral
AAAAGUAGGCCCUAAUCUUUACCACGUGGGCUAGGCCCCAACUUCCUUAAUAAGAUGCCUAUAGCAUAAGAAUUAAAACCAAGAAUCAAUAAAUGGGAUGGAUUCAAACUAAAAAGUUUUUUCUCAGGAAAAGAAACAAUCUGUGAGGUGAACAGAGAGCCUACAUCCUGAAUGUAGAUUUUUACCCCUCACACAUCAGAUAGAGCACUAAUCUCUAGGGUAUAUAAAGAACUCAACAAGCUAAGCACCAAAAAAAACAAACAAACAAAUAAUCCAAUCAAUAAAUGAGCCAAGGACCUAAACAGACACUUCUCAGAAGAGGAUAUACAAUCAAUCAACAAAUAUAUGAAAAAAUGCUCAUCAUCUCUAGCAAUUAGAGAAAUGCAAAUCAAAACUACUCUAAGAUACCAUCUCACUCCAGUCAGAAUGGCAGCUAUUAUGAAGACAAACAACAAGUGUUGGCGAGGAAGUGGGGAAAAAGGUACACUCAUACAUUGCUGGUGGGACUGCAAAUUGGUUCAGCCAAUUUGGAAAGCAGUAUGGAGAUUCCUUGGAAAUCUGGGAAUGGAACCACCAUUUGACCCAGCUAUUCCUCUUCUCGGACUAUACCCAAAGGACCUAAAAGCAGCAUACUACAGGGACACAGCCACAUUAAUGUUUACAGCAGCACAAUUCAUAAUAAGUAAACUGUGGAGCCAACAUAGAUGUCCUUCAGUGGAUGAAUGGAUAAAAAAAAUGUGGCAUUUAUACACAAUGGAAUAUUAUUCACCAAUAAAAAGCACAAAAUCAUGGCAUUUUUAAGUAAAUGGAUGGAGUUGGAGAAGAUAAUGCUAAGUGAAGUUAGCCAAUCCCAAAAAAUCAAAUGCUGAAUGUUUUCUCUGAUAUAAGGGGGGUGACUCAAAGUGGGGUAGGGAGGGA